CCCCUUGAAGACCACGAGGUAGAUAGGUUGGAGGUGGAAGUGCAGCAAUGCAUGGAGCUGACCAAUACUAAUCGGUCGAGGGCUUAUCCUA
RNAcentral lists this ribosomal RNA (91 nucleotides) under Paenibacillus sp. F411. RNAcentral's name for it is "partial 23S ribosomal RNA". It matches the Rfam family "Bacterial large subunit ribosomal RNA", at positions 2834 to 2925 of the family's 2925-position model. The record is from RNAcentral. Lineage: Bacteria; Bacillati; Bacillota; Bacilli; Caryophanales; Paenibacillaceae.